Long non-coding RNA from Panthera leo (lion), 2790 nucleotides. NCBI's taxonomy places the organism in Eukaryota, Metazoa, Chordata, Mammalia, Carnivora, Felidae. The record is from Ensembl.
GGCAUAUUCCAAACAAAUUUGAACAGUCCUGGUAAAUUCAAACCAACAACCAGCCAAGAUUUAUAUUUGGUUUGAGUGAAACAUUUCAAGACAAAAGUUAGAGAUAAUGAAUAUAGUCAGCAUCCAACAGAAAAUUCUGUUUUGCCCUAGUGGUGCCUUGCUUCGCCAUGUUUACACUGUUCAGGUUUGAGACUGAACAUCUCUUUGGGGCAUCUCUUUGGAGUCUGAAAAGCUCAUUCCCUGAAAGAGAAAACAGGCAAAUAUUGCAACAUCCACAGGCACAAUGUGUGCAGGAGUGGGUUACUCUUGGCCUGAGUUGGCAUUCAUUUUCUGGGAUAAAGGAAGAACUUGUCUUCCUCACACACAAUUCACUCCGUGGUUUUGCUUCUGUCUUUCCCAGGACCCAGUGCUUCCUCUCGAUUGGAAACUGUUUCUGGCCGCAUGUAUGUGUUUUUCACCCUCCAGAGAGGAUAUUUGCUCCAUUGUGUCCAGGAUCAGCCAGACCAGGGACUUGAAAUGUGAACCUGUCUUCUGAACGUACCUGAAGGGGAAAAUCUGCCUUGGAGAAAUCAAGCUGAUAUUCAGGGGUGUCACUUCAUUUUAGUUAUUUGACAGCGUGAAGAAGUGUUUAAUUUUCUAAAUAACGUUACAAGCCAAACUAAAGGGAAAACAUGCGGUAUAAAGCUUUUCAACAUUGUCCGUCUUCUGACGGGUAAAGUCUUCUUGAGAAAGUACCUUUGCCCAGUAAUACUGCUCCUCAGCCAAGAGUUGUAAUGUCCAUGGACAUUAUAAGGAACUAUAAAUGUUAGAAGGCUAGAGGAAUACAUUUGGCAAGAUAAAGGAAAAUAUCUCAGGAUGUAAAGUAGUCUCUGACCCUUAAUUUUUCUUCAUGUUUUAUCAUGUAAAGAUGGCACUACUUAUAGUGACUGUUAAUGUAUUAACAUUUCCUUGAAAAUGGAUAUUAAUCUGCCAUGAGGUUUCCUUUGUAGGUAUGUUUUACUUAGCUGUAUGAUGAAGGGAGAGCAGGGUAAUAGAGAGAUAAUAAGCUUUUCAGAUGGGCGGAUCUACCACUUAGAAAGUACCCUUGGGCAAGACAUAUAAACUCUUCGGAACUCAACUAGAUUUACUCAAAUUUAAGAAUGAGAACAAUAGUAUAUACUUCGAAAUGUUUCAGAGAAAGGUCUAUCCUAAUGCCUGCAGUAUAAAUUCCAAUAAAGAUUCUUUAAUUUCAUUUUUCACCCUUUUUGAAUGAAGUGAUCUUGAUUAUAAAGUUGUUCUGAGGAGCUCUGAAAAGACCACUGUACCCAGUGUGAGGAAUUGUGUUCUGGUAACAGCUCUGCUUUUAACUGGGUGAUUUUAGGAAAAGUCACUUUCUGAGGUUUAGUUUGCUUAUCUGUUGAAUCUAAAGGUUGAAAUCUGAUUCUGUUCUGUGACUCUGUUAUUCUAAAUAUUUAAUGAAAUAGAACUUCAAUGUUAAGAAUAGUAGUAUGAUAACUAUACUAAGAAAAAUAAAUCAUUGUCAUUAUCAAACAAACAAAAAAUUGAUUCCUAAAUCCUAUAAUUAAUAGUUACAUUAUUUACUGUCGUGAGCUGAUAAAUAUAUAACUGAGAAGAAAUGGAUAACACACAUUUUGAGAACUGAAAUUCUAACAAAACUUCAACUUGUUUAUCACUUAAAAUGUAGCAUCAUGCAGAAUGCAUACAGUUUGCAAAAGAAACUUUGGAAAGAAAUAUGGUAGAUGUGCAUGUACAGAAGUCUAGGCUUCUACAAGUUUUAAAGUGUGAGUGUAAGGCCCACCUACUCAAAGAAAUUCAGGGGGAAACUCAACUUUUUUCUUUAAUCCUCACUGUUGUGUUUGAUAUAAUUUUCUAAGUAGAGACAUCAGUGAGAAAAAUGAGGAUGCUUCCAUGUUUGUGUAGAAAGAAACGUUUGCUAUCCAUUCCAGUGUCCCCAGUGUUAAACUGAUAGGCACCUUGGACUUAUUUUCUUCCCAUUGUAUAAACUCAUACUUGACUUCAAAGAAAAGGAAAAAUACAAAGUCCCUCUUUUCUAAGGGGCAGAAAUCCUUUGUGCAACUGGUUGACCCUUGGCUCUCUAAGGUCCUAUAGGAAAUCUUUUGUAACACAAUGCAGAGGACUCUUCCUUGUGUUGAUGUUGUUUACAUAGUUGGUGGGCCUGGCUGAAAACAAAAAUCACAUAAACUCAUGAAAGAUUAGGGUCCCAUUUCCUGACCACAAGGAAGGGGAUUGGUACAUCCAAGCAGUCUGUUACUCAGAAAAAUCAUUAAAUAUUCUACCAUGAGGGACACUUUGAAAAAUUGAGAGAAAGGAAGAAGGAAGAAAGCAGAAUCGAGACUUAUGUACAUUUGUGGCAGAGUAAGAGUUUAAAUCCAACAAGGGAUUUGCUUUGGGGAAUUUCCUGUCCAGCCCUUUAUUACCAGGGUCUUUGUAAAUUGUGCAGUGACGUUGGGCUCCCCUUUGGGCAGUUCCCGGGAAAGGCAGUUCUUACACUUUUCCUCUAGGUCUUAGAAGGAUCUCAUUUUCUCAAUGUCUCUUUCAGGUUGGCAGAAGGCGCAAGAAUGACACUUCCCUCAGAUGGGACAGGCAGGCUCUGUGGCCGCGUAAACACGCUGUAACCGAGUUCUUUGCUGAUUUUUACAGAGUUUCAUUAGCUCCCAAGAAGAACUGAGGGUGCUGAAUUGUCUAGUGCUGGCCUGCCCCACAAGAGCCUGGGGGCUCCUUCCCCCUAACCCAGAACUGGCAGCGCAGGGGGCGGAGAAGUGGGGGUGG